UGCAGUCGAGCGGUAACAGGAGUAGCUUGCUACUCGCUGACGAGCGGCGGACGGGUGAGUAACGCGUAGGAAUCUGCCUGAUAGUUGGGGAUAGCCCAGGGAAACUUGGAUUAAUACCGAAUACGCUCUACGGAGGAAAGCAGGGGAUCUUCGGACCUUGCGCUAUCAGAUGAGCCUGCGUGAGAUUAGCCGGUUGGUGAGGUAAUGGCUCACCAAGGCGACGAUCUCUAGCUGGUCUGAGAGGAUGAUCAGCCACACUGGGACUGAGACACGGCCCAGACUCCUACGGGAGGCAGCAGUGGGGAAUAUUGCACAAUGGGCGCAAGCCUGAUGCAGCCAUACCGCGUGUGUGAAGAAGGCCUUAGGGUUGUAAAGCACUUUCAGUCGUGAGGAAAGGGGUGUCGUUAAUACCGGCAUCCUGUGACGUUAGCGACAGAAGAAGCACCGGCUAACUCCGUGCCAGCAGCCGCGGUAAUACGGAGGGUGCAAGCGUCAAUCGGAAUUACUGGGCGUAAAGCGCGCGUAGGUGGUUCAGUCAGUCAGAUGUGAAAGCCCCGGGCUCAACCUGGGAACUGCACCUGUUACUGCUGAACUCGAGUACGGUAGAGGGUAGUGGAAUUUCCUGUGUAGCGGUGAAAUGCGUAGAUAUAGGAAGGAACACCAGUGGCGAAGGCGACUACCUGGACCGAUACUGACACUGAGGUGCGAAAGCGUGGGGGAGCAAACAGGAUUAGAUACCCUGGUAGUCCACGCCGUAAACGAUGUCUACUAGCCGUUGGGGGACUUGAUCCUUUAGUGGCGCAGCUAACGCGAUAAGUAGACCGCCUGGGGAGUACGGCCGCAAGGUUAAAACUCAAUGAAUUGACGGGGGCCC
This 874-nucleotide ribosomal RNA is filed under the name uncultured Neptuniibacter sp. RNAcentral's name for it is "bacterial SSU rRNA". It matches the Rfam family "Bacterial small subunit ribosomal RNA", at positions 56 to 922 of the family's 1533-position model. The record is from RNAcentral. Lineage: Bacteria; Pseudomonadati; Pseudomonadota; Gammaproteobacteria; Oceanospirillales; Oceanospirillaceae.